GAUCAUGGCUCAGAUUGAACGCUGGCGGCAUGCUUUACACAUGCAAGUCGAACGGCAGCACAGGGAGCUUGCUCCCGGGUGGCGAGUGGCGCACGGGUGAGUAAUACAUCGGAACGUGUCCUGUUGUGGGGGAUAACUGCUCGAAAGGGUGGCUAAUACCGCAUGAGACCUGAGGGUGAAAGCGGGGGAUCGCAAGACCUCGCGCAAUUGGAGCGGCCGAUGCCCGAUUAGCUAGUUGGUGAGGUAAAGGCUCACCAAGGCGACGAUCAGUAGCCGACCUGAGAGGGUGACCGGCCACAUUGGGACUGAGACACGGCCCAAACUCCUACGGGAGGCAGCAGUGGGGAAUAUUGCACAAUGGGGGAAACCCUGAUGCAGCGACGCCGCGUGAGCGAAGAAGUAUUUCGGUAUGUAAAGCUCUAUCAGCAGGGAAGAAGAAAUGACGGUACCUGACUAAGAAGCACCGGCUAAAUACGUG
This 478-nucleotide ribosomal RNA is filed under the name uncultured bacterium. Its description in RNAcentral is "bacterial SSU rRNA". It matches the Rfam family "Bacterial small subunit ribosomal RNA", at positions 15 to 507 of the family's 1533-position model. The record is from RNAcentral.